UCAUAUUGUUGAGAGAAUUUUAUCUAAAUCUACUAUUAGCUUAAAUCAAAUUCAUUUCGAAUUGUAAAAUGGAUAUACUAAUUUAUAUCCUUUUUAUUUAAAAUUGAAUAUUUAAGUUUAUUUGAACAUUUACUUCAUAUUUAAAUUGAACUAAAAAAAGAAAAGUAAUAACAGUUUCUUGUUUGGAUUAUUAUUAUUUUAUUUAAGCAAAAGAUAAUGGAGGGAGUCGAAUGUUCGUUAUUUCCCCUUACAACAAUCAAUUUUCACUUUAGCUAAUGAAAGGAAAAUAUUUUUUCUAAAAUGUGAAAUAGUUUUUUUAUCUUUUUUUAUUUUUAUUUAAUUUAUUUUUUAAAAUGAUAUAACGGCGAAAGUCAUUGUACAGGCCCAAUUAUGCCCGGCCCAAACUAAAAGACCAAACCCAAUUAAAUACAAACCCUAAAGCCUAAAUCUUAGCCCCCUGCAAAGAAGAGAAAACAGCAGCAGCCCUCAAGCCUCAGCAGCACACUCGGCCAACCAAUGGCCGCCUCGCGCACCACCACCGGCAUAUGCUCUCUCCAUGCGUCUGACACGCCCAUACCCUGCAAACACAAACAACAAAAACAGCAGCCACAACAGAGGAAUAAGAGCAUUUUUUAUUGUUAUUGUAAUCGGUUAUAAAACCGAAAGGAGAAAUUUUGAAAAAAAAACGGAUUGUAUUUUGAAAUGGGGGGAUCGAUUGUAUUUUAGGGAAACCGGUUGUAAAUAGGGGGGAUUAGAGAGGAAAAACCGAUUGUAAAACGGGGGAGAUUACAUAGAGAGAAUACAAAAAAGGACUUGAAGGUGAUUUUCAGAUCGAUUUUUCUUUUUGAUUUUUUGGGUUCUCGUUUUCUUUCUUCUUGAUCUUUACUUGCUGCACAUUUAUAACAAAAAGGGAGAGCAUUACAAAGCAACAAAAAAUAGAAAAAGCAGUGAUUUCAAGGUUUUCGCACUUUUUUUUCUGUUCUUAUUCUUUUUUUACCGUAUUUUGAAUCUACUUGACAAAUCUAAAAGAGGAGUUUAUUUACCUUUUUUGUUGUCGAUUUAGUCGACGUUGGCUCCUCCGGCCUGAUGGUUGACAGAUCCUUGUGGUCUGGCUGAAACCGCGACGGUGGUGGAGGCGUAUUAUACGCCGGUGAAGCCUAAGAGUCGGCCAAGGUAAAGAAUAGGAGAAAAAUGGGGGCGGUUAGAUAUAAGUUUUAGUGAAAAUGGCAGAGCUCAGUGGUUCUUUUUUGUGUUUUUUAAUAUUGAAACGGUGGUGUUUAAGGGUGGGGGCC
RNAcentral lists this long non-coding RNA (1292 nucleotides) under Gossypium barbadense (sea-island cotton). Its description in RNAcentral is "long non-coding RNA (GBAR_LNC007195)". Lineage: Eukaryota; Viridiplantae; Streptophyta; Magnoliopsida; Malvales; Malvaceae. The record is from RNAcentral.